This 913-nucleotide ribosomal RNA is filed under the name uncultured bacterium. Its description in RNAcentral is "bacterial SSU rRNA". It matches the Rfam family "Bacterial small subunit ribosomal RNA", at positions 8 to 916 of the family's 1533-position model. The record is from RNAcentral.
AGAGUUUGAUCAUGGCUCAGAUUGAACGCUGGCGGCAGGCCUAACACAUGCAAGUCGAGCGGGGUCAAGGUGCUUGCACUUUGACUUAGCGGCGGACGGGUGAGUAAUGCCUAGGAAUCUGCCUGGUAGUGGGGGACAACGUUUCGAAAGGAACGCUAAUACCGCAUACGUCCUACGGGAGAAAGCAGGGGACCUUCGGGCCUUGCGCUAUCAGAUGAGCCUAGGUCGGAUUAGCUAGUUGGUGAGGUAAUGGCUCACCAAGGCUACGAUCUGUAACUGGUCUGAGAGGAUGAUCAGUCACACUGGAACUGAGACACGGUCCAGACUCCUACGGGAGGCAGCAGUGGGGAAUAUUGGACAAUGGGCGAAAGCCUGAUCCAGCCAUGCCGCGUGUGUGAAGAAGGUCUUAGGAUCGUAAAGCACUUUAAGUUGGGAGGAAGGGUUGUAGAUUAAUACUCUGCAAUUUUGACGUUACCGACAGAAUAAGCACCGGCUAACUCUGUGCCAGCAGCCGCGGUAAUACAGAGGGUGCAAGCGUUAAUCGGAAUUACUGGGCGUAAAGCGCGCGUAGGUGGUUCGUUAAGUUGGAUGUGAAAUCCCCGGGCUCAACCUGGGAACUGCAUUCAAAACUGUCGAGCUAGAGUAUGGUAGAGGGUGGUGGAAUUUCCUGUGUAGCGGUGAAAUGCGUAGAUAUAGGAAGGAACACCAGUGGCGAAGGCGACCACCUGGACUGAUACUGACACUGAGGUGCGAAAGCGUGGGGAGCAAACAGGAUUAGAUACCCUGGUAGUCCACGCCGUAAACGAUGUCAACUAGCCGUUGGGUUCCUUGAGGACUUAGUGGCGCAGCUAACGCAUUAAGUUGACCGCCUGGGGAGUACGGCCGCAAGGUUAAAACUCAAAUGAAUUGACGG